UAAUAGAGAUGUGAGGACGAUCCCCAGGAUUGAUUGGGUUGAUCUGGCUGGCUAGACAGGUGUCCUCUUCCUCCCAAAGCUUCUAGAACAACCUUCCCUAAUGGAGAAGGACUGUUCUUCAGUCAAGGGCAUACAAGUAGCUGUGCUCCUCUGCUAGCUCCUUCAAAUGAGCUCAAGAUGAACAAUGGGAUGGAAUAAAGUCUAGUCAACUUUCUCAUACUAUAGAAAGCUCAGAAUCAGGACUGCAAAGCCUG
This 254-nucleotide small nuclear RNA is filed under the name Castor canadensis (American beaver). RNAcentral's name for it is "7SK RNA (ENSCCNG00000030433.1)". It matches the Rfam family "7SK RNA". From Rfam's summary of the family: 7SK was discovered as an abundant small nuclear RNA in the mid-70s but a possible function has only recently been suggested. Two independent studies have found that 7SK RNA binds the CDK9/cyclin T complex (known as elongation factor P-TEFb). P-TEFb activates transcription by phosphorylating the C-terminal domain of RNA polymerase II. Lineage: Eukaryota; Metazoa; Chordata; Mammalia; Rodentia; Castoridae. The record is from RNAcentral.